RNAcentral lists this long non-coding RNA (208 nucleotides) under Vigna radiata. Its description in RNAcentral is "long non-coding RNA (VRAD_LNC004314)". The record is from RNAcentral. Lineage: Eukaryota; Viridiplantae; Streptophyta; Magnoliopsida; Fabales; Fabaceae.
CAGGAAUUAACAUGAAUUGGAUGAAAGAGGUUAAAGUAGUAAGGAGUUGGACUCAAGAGAAGAAGGAAAAGUGCUAAAAAGAAGAAUCGCACAUGGCGCUAAGCGCCAAUUCCACCGUUAAGCGCCAGCUUUAUUGUGUAGUUCUUUGGACAACGCUUAAGCGUCAAUGCUGAGAGGAAAAACAAGUGUCACAGUCACCACUGGGCGC